ACAGGAACGAUGAUCAGACUCUUUGUCGCUCUUUGUGCUCUUUUUUCUCUCUUCACAGCUGUGAAAACUUCUGACAUCAAGGAGAUUGACGUGAUAACAGUAAAGCGUGGAGAAGAUGUAACUAUGAAGUGUAGCAUUAGCAGUGUCA
Molecule: long non-coding RNA, 148 nt
Organism: Tachysurus fulvidraco (yellow catfish)
Lineage: Eukaryota; Metazoa; Chordata; Actinopteri; Siluriformes; Bagridae
Exons: 2
Source: RefSeq, a predicted model, not a curated record